Molecule: long non-coding RNA, 1001 nt
Organism: Xiphophorus hellerii (green swordtail)
Lineage: Eukaryota; Metazoa; Chordata; Actinopteri; Cyprinodontiformes; Poeciliidae
Exons: 2
Source: RefSeq, a predicted model, not a curated record
GUGAACUUUAACAACCUGUGCUGUAUUCACAAUAGACACUUCUAGAUUGGCGAUCUCUGUGGUCCCAGCAAGACGAAGAGUCUUUGUUAGCAGACCAAGAGAAAGCAACUGAAGAACGUCAGCAACGACUGGCGGCAUAUAAAGAACCGUCAAGUGGACUGCUGGUGAAGUUCAAAUAUCCGAAUGGAUUCAUCAGGAAGAGAACUUUCAAUGUGUCGGACCCAAUUCAGGUAAUGUGUUCAUUCAGAGAAUCUAUCUUAUUUAUUUUCAAGUAACUGAAAUUGCAUUACCCUUUUUUAAGGUUUUGUUUGACUCAAGUGAAAUAAAUAUUCAGUGUUCAACAAGCAGCAUCAUCCACACCAGCUGAGAGUCACUUAUGGAUCCUGGCAUAACAACAUCUGCAACUCUCUACGUGUUUUGGAUUUCAACUCUAGAUAUUCAGGUAAAGUCCAAAUUCCAUACAAUGUCGUCUCGGUAUUUUUGAUUUUUCCCCCCAAAAUAUUUCAGAAUGCCACAACUAGACUUUUGACUGGAUCCCAGAAACGAGAGCAUUUAACACCAGAAUCGGCUUCCCUGCAUUGGUUACCAGUUUGUUAUCGGAUUGAUUUGAAGUCUUUCAUUGGUUUUUGAAACUUGACAUGGCCUCGCUCCAGCUCAUCGUCACAGCCAUCCCAGUGCUGGAACACUUUGGUCAAAUAAUAAGUUGCUCUUACAUAUUCCUUGGACUGAGCGACAGUGAAGAGGAGCAGCGUUCGCUGCCACUGCUCCUAAUGUUUGGAACAACUUUCUAAUUUUUUAACAUUUGAUCUGCUCACAGGCUGGAACAUUUCAUAUCGCUCCUUAAAACUCAUUUUUAUUCUUUGGCUUUUUGUCAGGCCUGACUUUGUAAUUUUCUUGUCUGUUUUAAUUUGUGUUUUUGUCUGUGCUACAUGAAUACUGCACAGACCUUUGGUGCAAUAAAAUCGGUUUUGAAAGUGCUUCAUAGAUAAAAUUGACAUUGA